GAUGAAGAACGUAGUGAAAUGCGAUAAGUAAUGUGAAUUGCAGAAUUCAGUGAAUCAUCGAAUCUUUGAACGCACAUUGCGCCCCUUGGUAUUCCGAGGGGCAUGCCUGUUCGAGCGUCAUUAUAACCCCUCAAGCUCAGCUUGGUGUUGGGGCCUGCUGCACUGGCAGCCCUUAAAAUCAGUGGCGGCGCCAUCUGGCUCUAAGCGUAGUAAUUCUUCUCGCUAUGGAGUCCUGGUGGAUGCUUGCCAUCAACCCCCAAUUUUUCUAUGGUUGACCUCGGAUCAGGUAGGGAUACCCGCUGGACUUAAGCAUAUCAAUAAGCGGAGGA
RNAcentral lists this unclassified non-coding RNA (329 nucleotides) under soil metagenome. Its description in RNAcentral is "partial contains 5.8S ribosomal RNA, internal transcribed spacer 2, and large subunit ribosomal RNA". The stretch from base 1 to 120 matches the Rfam family "5.8S ribosomal RNA", at positions 35 to 154 of the family's 154-position model. The record is from RNAcentral.